AGGAUAAUCGCGUUACUCGAGUGUAUUUCAACUCUUCUCUCUCGUUCUUCUCUAUGUGCACUCUUGUUUGAGCUAUGAUUUGGAUCUAUUGGUGCUCGGAAUACAUGAUUUCGUGCCUGGGUUUGAGCCUGAUUUCUGAUUUCAUGUAUUUGAUUGCCUGGUUUUAUGUUUUUCUCUUUUCUUAUAUAUACCCCUUGUAUGUGCUGAAGCGUGGUUUGCUGUAGAACUUAACAUCAAUUUUUUUUUUUCUUAUUGUGUUUGAAAUCAAAAUAGCUUAGCUCGUUCACUUCUUAGCCGGUGAUUCAAUAUGGCCUUGAUUAGUAUUCAAAUCAAUGUAGCGGCGAGUCAAAUAAAUAGUAUAGUUCUUGGGUUUUCAUUUGCGGCCGUUGGGGCAAUUGCGCUGAUGGGUCGCCAGCUUCUGCCUAUCUUUCUUCUUCUUCUUCUUCU
RNAcentral lists this unclassified non-coding RNA (447 nucleotides) under Hevea brasiliensis (rubber tree). The record is from RNAcentral. Lineage: Eukaryota; Viridiplantae; Streptophyta; Magnoliopsida; Malpighiales; Euphorbiaceae.